This 769-nucleotide long non-coding RNA is filed under the name Capra hircus (goat). RNAcentral's name for it is "lncRNA (ENSCHIG00000007219.1)". The record is from RNAcentral. Lineage: Eukaryota; Metazoa; Chordata; Mammalia; Artiodactyla; Bovidae.
CCACCUCAGGCAGGCUGAGCAAAUUUGAGCUGAGAUGAUCAUUAGUGUCUGGCUUUCCCAGAGCAGAAUGUGAUCUCUGAUUUAGCCCAGGUGAAGCAGGAAGCAGAAAAUAGGGCCGUGGGAAGAACACCUCCGGUUCUGCACCAGGGAAAGCUGCUCUGGGGUGUCUGCCAACACCCAGGUCUUCCCUCUGACCCUCAUUGGCCGGUCGAGGGGUCUCUCCGCUCCGCUGUGAUCCUCAGAGGCUGAGACUGUCCUGUGCAGCUAUUGGUUGCUUUGUGCUGAGCGGAGGACUCUGUGGUUGUUGGAAAGCAGUAUUAAAAGCCAAGGAGUGUCUCCGGUUGCAAGACUCCCCAGGCAUUAGCCCUCACUCCACUUCACGUCAGCCCAGGGAGUCCCUCCGUCUUCCUGGCCGAUGCACCUCGGACCGGCGACACACAGAGAUGAGCAUGUCCAGACUGCCCAGAGUGAGCAGAUUAAAGCAGUUUUGGAGGGCAGUAAUUUGCUGGAUGGAGACUCUGUGCUCUGACCUUUGAUGGUAUUUUCUGCGCACAUCUGAGCCAAGUUACUGAUUGGAAAGCUUGGGAGAAGAAGCUAAGAGCACCCACGUGACCACGGAAGAAGCAGACAGCUCAUCCACAGACUGCCCGCUGGAUCCUCGGUCUCAGGGUCCGGGGCUGAAGAACAAAAGGCACGUGAGCUCAGAGGGAACGGGGCGAGGCCUGGUGGAAAGGAGUUCAUUGUGAUUCAUUGCACGUUCUCUGCGGCA